This 498-nucleotide ribosomal RNA is filed under the name uncultured bacterium. RNAcentral's name for it is "partial 16S ribosomal RNA". It matches the Rfam family "Bacterial small subunit ribosomal RNA", at positions 30 to 523 of the family's 1533-position model. The record is from RNAcentral.
AUUGAACGCUGGCGGCAUGCCUUACACAUGCAAGUCGAACGGUAACAGGUCUUCGGAUGCUGACGAGUGGCGAACGGGUGAGUAAUACAUCGGAACGUGCCUAGUAGUGGGGGAUAACUACUCGAAAGAGUGGCUAAUAUCGCAUGAGAUCUACGGAUGAAAGCAGGGGAUCGCAAGACCUUGUGCUACUAGAGCGGCCGAUGGCAGAUUAGGUAGUUGGUGGGAUAAAAGCUUACCAAGCCGACGAUCUGUAGCUGGUCUGAGAGGACGAUCAGCCACACUGGGACUGAGACACGGCCCAGACUCCUACGGGAGGCAGCAGUGGGGAAUUUUGGACAAUGGGCGAAAGCCUGAUCCAGCAAUGCCGCGUGCAGGAUGAAGGCCUUCGGGUUGUAAACUGCUUUUGUACGGAACGAAAAGCCCCGGGUUAAUACCCUGGGGUCAUGACGGUACCGUAAGGAUAAGCGCCGGCUAACUACGUGCCAGCAGCAGCCGCAG